Molecule: long non-coding RNA, 474 nt
Filed under: Oryza sativa Indica Group (long-grained rice)
Lineage: Eukaryota; Viridiplantae; Streptophyta; Magnoliopsida; Poales; Poaceae
Description: lncRNA OsZS97_08G012120
Source: RNAcentral
AGGGGCGCUUUUUCUUCUCGCGCGGCUUGGCGGGGUUAGUGGACGAGGCCGGCGAGUCGGGGAAGCUGUCCAUGUCCAUGAGGCGGAGACGGAGCAGCCGUCGACACAACAACGAGGUUUCGGCCGCAUUGACUCUGGCGACCUUCCCCGACCUGCUCCCGUCGCUCCCGGCGAGGCCGUCCUUCAUCCGCCGCCUCGCCUUCGCAUUCCAGCACCGCGGGUGUCCUCCUCCGCCUUCUCCCAACUCCUCGACGCCACCGCCGACCGCGGCCUUUCCGAGCUUGCCGUCUGCCUGCACCGCAACGGGUUCCUUCCCAAGAACCUCCUCUCCAUCCGCUCCCUCACCGUGGUCUCACUCAACUCAUGCGGGUUGCCUCGCCGGUUAUGGAGGAACGGCAGGUGGGCCACUCAAGCUGUGCGGGCUGCCAGUGGCAACCCUUCAAAUCACUCAAACUCACACUUGAUCGGAGGUGG